AAAGCGGACCUAUUACCGAAGAGUGGGCGGCUAAUCUUGAUCCAGUCAGUGCUAUGUGCUAUACCAGUUCAUUCCAUGCUCGCCUUGAGUUUCCCAGCUAAAACCAUCUCGGUGUUGGUAAAGAUUUGUAGGGGAUUCCUGUGGUGCGGCAAGAGUGAGGCAAACGGGGGCAACUGCUCGGUGGCUUGGGAUGAGGUGUGUACGUUCAAAUGCGUUGGUGGCCUCGGGAUUCCGGACUUGAGAUGGCUGAACACAGCCUUGCAAGCUCGAUGGCCUUGGCUCCAAAGGACUGACUCUGAGCGAUCGUGGGCUGAGUUCUCCAUCACCGUCCCCCAGGAAGUGAUGGCCUUGGCCAAGGCGGCAAUGCGUACGACUGUAGGAGAUGGAAGUACAGCUCAGUUCUGUGAAGAUCGCUGGGUGGAUGAAGCGACGGUUCAAGAGCUAGCACCAGCGCUGUUCAACAGAGUGCCUGGUCAUGUCAGGGCGACGAGGAUGGUCUCAGAUGCGCUUGGAAAUGGGCAUGAGUAG
RNAcentral lists this ribosomal RNA (528 nucleotides) under Triticum aestivum (bread wheat). RNAcentral describes it as "partial small subunit ribosomal RNA". The record is from RNAcentral. Lineage: Eukaryota; Viridiplantae; Streptophyta; Magnoliopsida; Poales; Poaceae.